UACGUAGGUGGCAAGCGUUGUCCGGAUUUACUGGGUGUAAAGGGCGUGCAGCCGGGAAGACAAGUCAGAUGUGAAAUCCCGCGGCUCAACCGCGGAACUGCAUUUGAAACUGUUUUUCUUGAGUACCGGAGAGGUCAUCGGAAUUCCUUGUGUAGCGGUGAAAUGCGUAGAUAUAUGGAGGAACACCGGUGGCGAAAGCGGCUCUCUGGCCUGUAACUGACACUGAGGCUCGAAAGCGUGGGGAGCAAACAGG
RNAcentral lists this ribosomal RNA (253 nucleotides) under uncultured bacterium. Its description in RNAcentral is "partial 16S ribosomal RNA". It matches the Rfam family "Bacterial small subunit ribosomal RNA", at positions 524 to 776 of the family's 1533-position model. The record is from RNAcentral.